GACGAACGCUGGCGGCGUGCUUAACACAUGCAAGUCGAACGGAAAGGCCCUGCUUGCAGGGUACUCGAGUGGCGAACGGGUGAGUAACACGUGGGUGAUCUGCCCUGCACUUCGGGAUAAGCCUGGGAAACUGGGUCUAAUACCGGAUAGGAGCCAUUUUUAGUGUGAUGGUUGGAAAGUUUUUUCGGUGUAGGAUGAGCUCGCGGCCUAUCAGCUUGUUGGUGGGGUAAUGGCCUACCAAGGCGGCGACGGGUAGCCGGCCUGAGAGGGUGGACGGCCACAUUGGGACUGAGAGACGGCACAGACGCCUACGGGAGGCAGCAGUGGGGAAUAUUGCACAAUGGGCGCAAGCCGGAUGCAGCGACGCCGCGUGGGGGAUGACGGCCUUCGGGUUGUAAACUCCUUUCGCUAGGGACGAAGCUUUUUGUGACGGUACCUAGAUAAGAAGCACCGGCUAACUACGUG
RNAcentral lists this ribosomal RNA (465 nucleotides) under uncultured bacterium. RNAcentral's name for it is "partial 16S ribosomal RNA". It matches the Rfam family "Bacterial small subunit ribosomal RNA", at positions 28 to 507 of the family's 1533-position model. The record is from RNAcentral.